Molecule: non-coding RNA, 1513 nt
Organism: Oryza sativa Japonica Group (Japanese rice)
Lineage: Eukaryota; Viridiplantae; Streptophyta; Magnoliopsida; Poales; Poaceae
Source: RefSeq, a predicted model, not a curated record
GGUCCGUAAUUAGAUUAUGGCAAAUUUUACUACAUGAUACUCAAAGUUUGUGGCAUUUGCUGCUAGACACCCAAAGAACGUGUUACUUCCUAUGGACACUGCAAAAAUGUGAUAAUUAGCAGCUGGAUAUCCGAGGCAUUAUUUUAUUAUUUUAGAUAAAAAAAGAGAGAGAAAGAGCCUUGAAAGUAUCGAAAUACCCCUAGAAAUAUUCUACUUCCUCUUUUCUUUCAUCUCAUCUCACCCUGCCUUCCCGAGCAGCCGUGGGUGGCUGCAGCCACGGGGAGCGGCACGAUAGCUUCCCAGCUGUACGCGUGUGGGUCGCGUGUCCCCGUCACCGCGUGCCCUCGAUGUCCAGCACCACGCGUGGUGUGCCGGCACGAGCGGCCGCACCGUGCUCGGGAAGUCGGAGGCGCUCCGCGACAUCGCGAUGAUGAGCGAGUGCACCACCACUCCCAGCUCCAGCACCUCCACCAACAAGGAUGCGCAAAGCGAAAUCGAUUAAGAAAAUAAGAACAACAAUUUUGAUUUGAUUUUUUUCUUAAUUUUGUUGCAUUUUUUUGGCCAUCGGUUUAGAUUUCCUUCCUUCCUACACGGUCCGCACUCACCCACGCACUAGGUUGCUUGCUGCUCUCGCCGUUCGCCGUUGCUUCGCGGCAAGCAUCGAUCGAGCUAGUGAAGAUAGAUAUGUGCGGCGGCGCCAUCCCGCUGAUCAACAGCCACGGCCCUGGCGGCAAGAGGAGCUAGCCUCUCCGUAGCCGAUGAACUCUGGCCGCCGCGGCGCCGCCGCAGCACGCCAGCGACGACGACUUCACCAAUUCACCACCACCACCGCUGUAGCUCCACCGGCCGAGCAAGCGGCGGACGAGGAGGAGCAGUCGAUGGCGAGGGGAGCGGAGGACGCUAUACCGGGGAAUCCGGCGCAGGCCGUGGGGGAAGUGGGAGGCGGAGAUCCGCGACCAUGGAAUAUAAUAAAAUAAUGAGGCAGGUGUCCAGCAGCUAAUUACCAUAUUUUUCAGUCUCUAUGAGAAGAUACACUUUUAUUGGGUGUCUCACAGCAAAAACCACAAACUUUGAGUGUCUUGUAGAAAAAUUUGUCUUAGAUUAUCGCCCAAAGACCAUGUGUUAUGUGCAUUUAGGUUCACAAGUACAAAAAAAGGUAAGGGGCAUAUGUUUACACCUAAAUUUGACACCUAGAUGCGAAAGAGAAAUAUUGUAAAAAUUUCGAAGGCGUCGUCGGGUUUCUUUCAUGGAGUUGGUCAGACCACCAUAUAUAGGCCGGUUUGACCGAUGUGUACGGUUGGUUUGAUCGGCGGCAUGUGACCAGCCAGACCGGUAGAGUGCGAGUUCAUGUCGAAUUUUGUCAGGUCUCGGGUUUCCUUGCAUAGAGAGGUGAUUUUCGAGUUCUAAUUGAUCUCUACCUUGAAUUUGAUGUGAAAGAGAUCUGUAUUGGAGGCAAGACCAACACCUUUAUAAGAGACAAGACCGGUUCAAUUAGAGACAAUCUACUUUCAAC